RNAcentral lists this ribosomal RNA (505 nucleotides) under uncultured bacterium. RNAcentral's name for it is "bacterial SSU rRNA". It matches the Rfam family "Bacterial small subunit ribosomal RNA", at positions 28 to 525 of the family's 1533-position model. The record is from RNAcentral.
GACGAACGCUGGCGGCGUGGAUUAGGCAUGCAAGUCGAACGGUAUCAUCCUUUCGGGGGUGAGAGAGUGGCGAACUGGUGAGUAACACGUAGGUUAUCUACCCUCAAGACGGGGACAACCCAGGGAAACUUGGGCUAAUACCGGAUGUGAGCAACUUUUAGUUGUUUGAAAGGCGGCGUAAGCUGUCGCUUGGGGAUGAGCCUGCGUCCUAUUAGUUAGUUGGUGAGGUAACGGCUCACCUAGGCAAUGAUAGGUAGGCGGCCUUAACGGGUGGUCGCCCACACUGGGAUUGAGAUACGGCCCAGACUCCUACGGGAGGCAGCAGUCGAGAAUAGUCUACAAUGGUCAGAAGACUGAUAGUGCGACGCCGCGUGAACGAUGAAUCCCUUCGGGGUGUAAAGUUCUUUUAUAUGUGAGCAGUGCUUCUUAUAUUAACAGUAUGGGGAGAGAGAUAUUAGCAUAUGAAUAAGCAACGGCUAACUCCGUGCCAGCAGCCGCGGUAAAA